GAUGAACGCUGGCGGCGUGCUUAACACAUGCCAGUCGAACGAAGCACUUAAGAUUGCUUCUUCGGAUGACGUCUUUUGUGACUUAGUGGCGGACGGGUGAGUAACGCGUGGGUAACCUGCCUCACACAGGGGGAUAACAGUUAGAAAUGACUGCUAAUACCGCAUAACCCGAUAGGAUCGCAUGAUCCAGACGGAAAAGAUUUAUCGGUGUGAGAUGGACCCGCGUCUGAUUAGCUAGUUGGUGAGGUAACGGCCCACCAAGGCGACGAUCAGUAGCCGGCCUGAGAGGGUGAACGGCCACAUUGGGACUGAGACACGGCCCAAACUCCUACGGGAGGCAGCAGUGGGGAAUAUUGCACAAUGGGGGAAACCCUGAUGCAGCGACGCCGCGUGAGUGAAGAAGUAUUUCGGUAUGUAAAGCUCUAUCAGCAGGGAAGAAAAUGACGGUACCUGACUAAGAAGCCCCGGCUAACUACGUG
Molecule: ribosomal RNA, 479 nt
Filed under: uncultured bacterium
Lineage: Bacteria
Description: partial 16S ribosomal RNA
Rfam family: Bacterial small subunit ribosomal RNA
Source: RNAcentral